AUACGGAGGGUGCGAGCGUUGUUCGGAAUUAUUGGGCGUAAAGAGCAUGUAGGCGGUCUGUUAAGUCUGGUGUGAAAGCCCGGGGCUCAACCCCGGAAGUGCAUUGGAUACUGGCAGACUUGAGUAUGGGAGAGGAAAGCGGAAUUCCGAGUGUAGGAGUGAAAUCCGUAGAUGUUCGGAGGAACACCAGUGGCGAAGGCGGCUUUCUGGACCAAUACUGACGCUGAGAUGCGAAAGCGUGGGGAGCGAACAGGAUUAGAAACCCCGGUAGUCC
Molecule: ribosomal RNA, 274 nt
Filed under: uncultured bacterium
Lineage: Bacteria
Description: partial 16S ribosomal RNA
Rfam family: Bacterial small subunit ribosomal RNA
Source: RNAcentral